Molecule: ribosomal RNA, 250 nt
Filed under: uncultured bacterium
Lineage: Bacteria
Description: partial 16S ribosomal RNA
Rfam family: Archaeal small subunit ribosomal RNA
Source: RNAcentral
UACCAGCACCCCGAGUGGUCGGGACGUUUAUUGGGCCUAAAGCAUCCGUAGCCGGUUCUACAAGUCUUCCGUUAAAUCCAACUGCUUAACAGGUGGGCUGCGGAAGAUACUAUAGAGCUAGGAGGCGGGAGAGGCAAGCGGUACUCGAUGGUGAGGGUAAAGUCCGUUGAUCCAUUGAAGACCACCAGUGGCGAAGGCGGCUUGCCAGAACGCGCUCGACGGUGAGGGAUGAAAGCUGGGGAGCAACCGG